CUCACCAUGUCCCUCUCACUCUUAUUGCCCAGCAGGCACUAUGGUUCCUCAGCCAUGCCCCAAUGGCACCUACACUCUUCCUGGUGUCGAAGGUCUACAGAAUGAGAGAGAGUGCUUGGCCUGCCCCCCAGGAAAAUUUUGCAGGGGUGGUCAGAUAAGAGGCCUGUGUGCAGCUGGGUACUUGUGUAUCUCAGGCAGCUCAGAUUUGACCCCACGUGGCCCAGUUAUGACUAACACAACUCACUGUGAAUGGGGAGUGCAGUGUGCCGGACCCUGUCCUGCUGGUUUCUACUGUCCAAAGGGCACAGAGAAACCUCAAGCCUGCCCUGUUAAUACCAUAAAGGAAAUCCCUGGAGGAAGCAGCAUACAUAACUGUCUCCCCUGCCCACCCAGACACUGGUGCAAAGAGGGUGAUCCUGAGCUCUACAUGUGUCCUGAGGGUCAUUACUGUGAUGGUAUAAUUGAUUAUGAGUCUGAGGGUAGACCUGGACCAAGAAAGUGUCCUCGGUUUACUUAUAGACCUACUUCUGGUGCAGGAAGCAAAGGAGACUGUCUUCAGUGUCCGGCCGGAACUUUCUGCAAUGCUAUAGGUCUGACUGACUUCUCCAGUUUCCCCUGCCCCCCUGGGUAUUGGUGCAGUGGUACAGGUUUGCCAGUUCUUUGCCCUGCAGGCACCUUCAGAACUCAACCAGGGGCAAAUGCUUCUAGCCAGUGCCAACUCUGUGGUGCUGGUACCUAUUGCCCUGACCCUCGUCUCACUGGUCAGCCUAACACUGUGGGAAUUCCUUGCAGAGCCUCUUACCAGUGCCCCAUUGGAUCAGUUGUGGAGGACUUGUGUAGAGCAGGCUCAUAUUGUAGGCCACAAACUGGAGAACCCACUCCAUGCCCUGCAGGAUAUCACUGCCCUGAAGGCUCACACACCUACAACACACCACAGCAAAUGUGUACAUACCCAUAUUACUGCCCAGCUAACACCUCAACCAUGCUGUCAUGUGGUGGUGGCUUUAUGCCCCGUAAUGCCAGUGGCCUAAGAGUGUCUCAGGAGAGCAGCUGCUUAAGGUGUGAGGCAGGGACUUACCGACCCAGUGGGUCUCCUCACCUCCGCUGCCUUGCAUGCCCCCCAGGCUACCACUGCCCUCCAGGCACUGAUGACCACAGUAGUCAGCCUUGUCCAGUUGGAUAUUUUUGUCCACGGGGCUCAGCCAAUCCAGUUGCAUGCCCACCUGGCAGCUAUGGCAACAGCACCAAGGCUGAAUUACUUGAGGAAUGCCACCCUUGCCCUCCAGGCACAUUCAACCACCUGUACGCCCAGAGAGCCUGUUUCCCCUGUGGCAGCUCUUCCAUUUCAUCACAAGGUCUCCUCAUUAACAUUAACAUACUAGAACAGUGUCAUCAACACCGACUCUACUGCAUACAGUGAGUCCCGUUAAGUGAAAUUCACAACAUUUUAUGGUGACUUACUAUGGUCUUUAUGUCUAGGGGCAUCCUCAUGCAUGUGCAUAGGCAAAAACCGGGCAUUCCAGCACUCUGAUGGCUCCUGCGUGUGUAAAGCUGGUUAUGUCUUCUACAAUGAAUUGGACUUCAAAAGUUCCAAUGGUGAUAGUGAUCUAGACUGUCAACCUGAGGUGAGCAAACGCUGUGGAACUGGACAAGUGAGACUGGCUUCAUCACAAGACUGUGUCAGUCCCUCUGAACACUCAUGCAACAUUACUUGUGGAGCUCAUGGUGGGAGUCUGGAUGUAAGCUUGGGCAUUUGUCACUGUGAGAUGUAUGUCUCUGUGGAGGAGUUGUGUAACUCCUCAUGCUUGUCUGCACUGCCUGUGCUAUCUGCCAGACUGGCUCCAAAUGGACAGCUGGUGCUCAGGAUCAAAGUGAUGGAUGAAAGCAGGAUCUGGAGCAGGAAUAUCAUGAAUGUCCUGGGGCCUGACAGUCAUAUCAGCAGCUUCGGAAAGAUCCAUUUUGUCCAGUUUUCUCCAGAUGGAGUGUUUGGUUGGAUUUUAAAGGACCCUGUGCUUAUUGACAUCUUUUUGUCUGAGCCAUUUGAAAUUCUGGAUGGACAUCCAAGGAAGCGAAGACACACCCAUGAGCUAGGAUUACUGAUCUCAGGGCCUCUCCCUCGCAUUCCCAACCCCAUAGCCUGCCUUUCCACCAAUGACAUGCUCAUCUUUCAGCUCACCAUCAACUACACAGACCGUCUCCUCAGCCACUUUCCAGUCUAUCAAAAGAACCAUUUGUUCAGCAGUAACCCUACCUGGGACUUUGGUGCAUUCAGACAACUGGAAAGCCUUGUCAAACAUUCCCGAUUUAAUUCCACCAGAUUUGCACAUGCAUUCAUGGAGCCAGGGAAGUAUGUGUUCCUGGACAAUGCAGUGCCGGAUUGGAGCCUGAUAGUUGUGGUGAAAGAGGAGGGCACUGAGUGUGAUCCUACUGCAGCUGCCUUCCAGCCCACCUCUCCAGCACAGCUGGUGCGACAUGGGAUUGUCAAACAACAGCGACUCAACCUGUUGCCUGACUGGGGCACCAUUGGAGGGGUCUUGGUGCUGAUGGUGUUACUAGUAGUCGUGUUGACUCUGACUGCCCUGCUUCUGAGACCAAAUCAUGCCAACCUCAUUGCUAAAGGCAGACCAAAGCCUAAAUGGCGCAGCUUGGGAGAACCUACUGUUCCUGUAGCGUAUGUUUACAAUGAAGAGUGAUAGCGCUCUACUGGGACUCAGGGGAGUCGGUGAGGGUGCGGAAGAAGAAGAACCUGCUGUGUGCAAAGGAUUCAAGAAUAUAUUCAUGGAGCUGGAAGGAUUCAAUGUCAAAACACUGUACGACAAAUUAGAGGACCAGAAUUUGCAUCUGGCAUCACAGCUGGCUAAGCACCGCAAAGAUACACAGGAGUUCUACAGGAAUAUCUGUCAGCAGACUGAUAUACUGCGGGAUGUUUUGGAGAACAUGGAGCCCUCAAAACUGAUCCAGUGGAAGAAGAUUAUAGAUAGUAAGGCACAAGCCAAGAAGGAAUCAAUUUAUGUGGAGUCAUCGAUGGGCUUGAUGGAGGCUGUGCUGAAGUCUUUAGAGGCCGUGUUGUUUAGAUUGAAUGGAGAGGCCUGGCAGCAACAGCACCAGCACAGAGACAGCAGAGAGAGUGAAAUCCACAUCAGAAACACCCAGAUUUCUUCAACUGACAUGAGUGAACUGAAAGCACGGCCGGAUACAGAAGCAGCUUCUUCUGGCCAGGGUGGGAGGAAAUAUCUCUCAGUGCCCCCUUUGAGCACAGUACCCUGUGUGAGUGAAGAGGAUCUGGCCAAGCUGAUGGCGCUCACACCUCUCACCAGAACUCUGCAGGACAUACAGCAGUCUCUGCAGGAACUCAGCCAAAGGCCCAGAGCACAGGAAGAUAAGAGUACUCCUUCGGCAAUUCCCGACGACCCAGCAGAAUGGGCAUCAGCAAAGUUGAUCCCUGUUGCCCUUGAUAACCUCUCUCCAAGGUGCUUUGCAGUGUUCCUGUUUGGCUGCCAUGUUGUACAGCUGCUGAGCCGAGUCUGCUCGUUCCCUCCUGUCAUGCUGCUACUGGCUAAGACUCUUCCAGUCACGUGCACUGAUACUCUGUUGGUUUACUGCUACAAAGAGUUUUACUACGACACAGCCAACCAGAUCCUGUAUAUCCUUGAGAGCAAGCUUCAAAAUGCUGGCCAAUUUGUCUCAGUUCUCUUACACUCCAUGGCCUACAUUAGCUCAGGCUCUGCAUCUCGAGACUUCAUGGGUGCUCUCCACUCAGCGAUAUCUGCCCUAAGUAUGCAGUUAUUCCAGCUCACCUUCACUCAGGAGCAGCUGGAAUGCAAGAUUAAGGAAGAGAUUCCACAUGUUGCCUUUGGAACAAUAGCGGAGGACUUCCUCAGUGUUAAAAUUCCACCAGAAACUCAGUUCUCCCAGAAUCUGUUGGCAGAAAGAUUGCAGAAGUAUAAGUACUUCAAACUGGAGCAUUUCCUUUGUGAACAAAACCCCCCUCCAGCAAACAGAUCCGCAGAACAUCCUGGUCAAAUGAGCUGUAAAGGUCUAGAGAAGGUGAGGUAUUUGUUGUUGUUGUUGUUGAUUAAUACUUGAUGUACUGGAUAUACAGGUACUUUUAUAAUGAUAUGAUCUCCUCAUUGAGCUCCUCCUUCCAGAUACGGCUGUUUAUUGGUUUUAUAGCACAGCUUAGUGAAAUUUCUGGGCAACUCAGUUCACAAAAGCAAAAUAUACAGUCUGCCUCUUUCCAGAAUGAUUCAGAUUCACCUUGAGUUCGUGCAUUGUGUGUGACCCUACACUGAGUCACCCAGUUAACGUUCAAGUUCUUUACAAGCUUUCAGCUGUGCUUUGCUAUUUUUGGCUCCAACGUCUAGUGGGCUUUGAUGAUUGGCAAGCUACUGUCUCUCACAGUUUUUGUAUUCGCAUUUGUUCUCUCUUUUACUUUCUUCGGACUUGCAUCUGUUUUGUCAUUCAGCUUCACGCUUUCUCUUGGCAUCCAUCCAAAGUCUGCCCUUUGCUCACUCUGUCUUAGUGAGUCGUUGUCUCUCAUUGCAGGAGCAAGCAUCGAUGUUAAAGUGUCAGCAGGACACAGUAGAGCAGAGAUUGAAGGAGAUGAGAGACAGGCUGUUUAACUCUAGUGCAGCACAGAGAACUGUGUGUCAGGAAGAAAGCCCAUCCCAAACUACAGAACAAACACAUCCAGACAGCCAGUCCAUGAGCGAACACACAAUCAAGCCAGGUGACAACCAGGGAGAGGUCACUGAGCAGUUCCCCAGAAAUAAACAACACAGCAAACACAUGGAUGAAGCUUCUGGGGAAAAGGACAUGAUGGCUUAAAGUGGUUUUGUAUUAAAAAAACAAAACAAAAAAAACAAACAAACAAACAAAAAAAAAACAGUAACUACAGUACUACAGUGUUACAUAUUCUAGAUUGUUAUGUUGACUUAAUUUUCUAUAUUACUUUCUAUCUCUAUUCUGAAAUUUCAAAACGAUUAGCUGUAAAUACAUUUUUACUGUAAUGCCAUAAACACUCAGUCAUACAGUUAUCUAUUUUAUCAGAAACAAUCUGAGUGAAUAGUAGAAUAUUAGAAUAUUGACAUAAAUUUCAGAAUUCUCUAGUAUUUGGUAUGUUCCCUAUUGCUUCUCAAGCUCUUAUGCACUCAAGCUGUCAUAGACUCCAGAAGCUUGUGUAAAACCGGAUGAUCCGGAUGAUGUGCUUUAAUGUAAAGAAUUUAAACUCAGAGGGGAAUUAACAUGAUCAAUAUCACAAAUUUACUUAAGUUAAAAAGUGGCCUAGAAAUUUAACAGUUGCUUUGUUUGAAAUUGUUCCCCCCAAAUUCUAAAUUUCCAGUUUUAAAUGAAAAUAAAUAAAUAAAUAAAUCUCAGGGUUUCAACUUUGGUCUCAGACGUUUGGACCCCACUGUACUGUAUAUGUGGUGGCAUUGGAAAAAUCUUGACCUGGUGAAUUUUGGACAUUUUCUACUACAUAUAAUUCUAAAAACUAUAGCGUUUCCUGAACUAUGUUUCUCUUUUGCACGUUGUCAAGGUUUUUUACCAUCUGGUUACCUUCAAAACUGAAAAGGGAGAAAAUAACUUUUAAAGAUUGCAUUUGAGUGAGUGCAGGUACAUCAAGGACAUCUUCCACAGCUGAAAUCUGAUUUCACUAGAGUAUAUAAUUGUGCAUCUUUUUUUGCGCAGUUCAGUGUUUUCACAAUAAUCCUCACACUGUUGUCAUCACUAGCUCUACAUUGGUUUUUUGUACUGUAUUACUCAAUUUGCACAUUUCAUUCCACAUGCAGUUUGACUUGUGUAUUUCCUUUUCUUCCAACUCCGUGAACUCUCUCCCUAUGUUGUGGUUAUGCAUGAUGUCUGUUCAUUUGUUUAUGCACUUUAUUUUAACUGUACGGUCGCUGCCACUGUAGCACAAGCAUUGUAUUGUUUCUUCUGUACUCUGUAUUCUGGAAACAUUUGAAAAUAAAGUGAACUUAAGCUUUAACUCUG
Molecule: long non-coding RNA, 5991 nt
Organism: Ictalurus punctatus (channel catfish)
Lineage: Eukaryota; Metazoa; Chordata; Actinopteri; Siluriformes; Ictaluridae
Source: Ensembl